UGGCGAAACACAUCUGCCGCGCCUCCCACGCCCUCGCCUGUUGCAACUCGCGGAUCUAGCAGUCCGGCUUGCGACGCUUCCUCCCUGCACGUGUGGAUACCUUGGAGGUGUUGCGCCUGCAGCACUUGGACGAGCCGCCGACGAGCCACGACGAGCCGCCGCCGAGCCGCGGCACGAGGACGAUCUUGCUGCACGUGGACGAGCUGCUGAGGAGCUGCUAGAUGUUGACGUGAUGGACUACGUACGACUACGUUGAUCGUCUUCACUGCAUCGACGCAAAUCUACAUCUUCCGCACCAGUAGUGCGUCGAGUGGUAAUCCCGUGAUCCUUAUACGACAAUUCUUCCUGGUUUUACGCUGUAGAAAUUUUGAUUUGCGCUAGUGUAGCCUACCUCGUAUCCCAACAGUGUCCUGGACUGCCUCACCUCGCCCAAGGGGGAAACCAGUCCUCGUGCGCGUGGCCGGCGGCCGAGCCCUCCUCCCCGCCGACGCACCACGACAGCACCGACCUCCUCCCCAUGUAUGUUUCUAACUUGUGUGUUUUCUUGUCAUAGGUUUUGCACGAUGAUAAAUUGUUUGAGGAGAUGACCAAGGUAUGUCUACCCAUCCUGGGCUGCUUGUUUCUCUGUUCAAACUCUGAAGCAAUCACAGUUGGGUGAAUC
This 661-nucleotide long non-coding RNA is filed under the name Setaria viridis. RNAcentral describes it as "long non-coding RNA (SVIR_LNC000191)". Lineage: Eukaryota; Viridiplantae; Streptophyta; Magnoliopsida; Poales; Poaceae. The record is from RNAcentral.